GAUGAACGCUAGCGGCAGGCUUAAUACAUGCAAGUCGAGGGGCAGCAGCUUUAUAGCAAUAUAGAGGCUGGCGACCGGCAAACGGGUGCGGAACACGUACACAACCUUCCUUUAAGUGGGGGAUAGCCCAUAGAAAUGUGGAUUAAUACCCCGUAAUAUUAUUGAAGUGGCAUCACUUUAUAAUUAUAGUUUCGACGCUUGAAGAUGGGUGUGCGGCUGAUUAGGUAGUUGGCGGGGUAAAGGCCCACCAAGCCUUCGAUCAGUAGCUGAUGUGGGAGGAUGAGCAGCCACACGGGCACGGAGACACGGGCCCGACUCCUACGGGAGGCAGCAGUAAGGAAUAUUGGUCAAUGGACGCAAGUCUGAACCAGCCAUGCCGCGUGAAGGAUGAAGGUCCUCUGGAUUGUAAACUUCUUUUAUAGGGGGCGAAAAAAGGGAAUUCUUUCUCACUUGACAGUACCCUAUGAAUAAGCACCGGCUAACUCCGUGCCAGCCGCCGCCGUAACAC
Molecule: ribosomal RNA, 508 nt
Filed under: uncultured bacterium
Lineage: Bacteria
Description: bacterial SSU rRNA
Rfam family: Bacterial small subunit ribosomal RNA
Source: RNAcentral